This 181-nucleotide non-coding RNA is filed under the name Myxococcales bacterium. RNAcentral describes it as "6S RNA". It matches the Rfam family "6S / SsrS RNA". Rfam says of the family: E. coli 6S RNA was the first non coding RNA to be sequenced, but its function was unknown until recently. It consists of 184 nucleotides that fold into an extended hairpin structure with a large single-stranded internal bulge. Lineage: Bacteria; Pseudomonadati; Myxococcota; Myxococcia; Myxococcales. The record is from RNAcentral.
GGCUCUCUGGGGUGCUUGUCAGAGUGCGUAAUAUCAAUUCCGCUGUACCGAAACCCCGGGAUCUGUCGCUCGUCGCGGUGUGCACGCCGGCUCUUGAGCCGGAAGCCUAAAGCGAUGAUAUGGAACCCAUAUGCAGCGUCGGCGGGGUUGAAUUUGGUCUCGAUGGCACUCCGGAGAGCUU